RNAcentral lists this long non-coding RNA (235 nucleotides) under Physcomitrium patens. RNAcentral's name for it is "long non-coding RNA (PPAT_LNC010609)". The record is from RNAcentral. Lineage: Eukaryota; Viridiplantae; Streptophyta; Bryopsida; Funariales; Funariaceae.
AGGAUUUGGUUAGGAUUUGAUUUAGGAUUUAGGAUUUUAUUAGAAUUUUUUUAGAGUUUAAGAUUUAAUUAGUGUUUGGCCUAAAGUUUGAAUGAAGUCCAAUAGGAUUUUAACUAGGAUUAAACUAAGAUUUAAUUGAGAUUUAUUUGAGAUAUAUUUGUGAUAAUUCUAAUAUUUCUUUAAGUUUACUUAUUAUUUCUUUGUAAUUCCUUUGAGAUUUCUUUGAAUUUGAUUA